UAUCACAUACCUGCCAACUUUCACGAUUUAGGCGUGUACUACACGAUUUUGACCCUUUGUCACGAUUGCACGAUCGUGUUCCUGAAAAACCCUCUAAAACACGAUUUGGUGAAAAUCUACACGAAAAAUAUUGUUGUUCCCGAUUUUGAACUGUGUCCAAUGGAGGAAAUCGUGUUCAGCCAAUCAAAUUGUGUGUUUCUCAUGAUCAAAUUAAUCAGCCAAUCAAAAACGUUUUCUCUCAAGAUUGUUUUAACAUGCUAGAUAUUGAACUUGUGUUGUAUUCCUCUGUUUGUUGGUCAGAAUUGUAAAAACGUGAACAUGGCAAAUGAUUUUUCAACUGCAAGGAGGUUCUUACACAGAAUAAGAAUAAAAGCAUGGCUGAUUGACAAACUUCAAUGAUGCAGUACUACCAUGAAUAUAAUAAAUAGUAGUUUAUUCACUAAUUUAUUGACAUUACAUGUACACUUGCUGUAACAUAAUUUUAUUUAUGUAUUCAAUCAUUUAAAGUAUAAUGUACUAUUCAUUAUUUUUCACAUGGACCCCCCACCCCCACCCACAUCAACAUGAGGAAUCCCUUAAAUGAGGGACUACCCUUAGUCAAGGGGUCACUCUUGUAAAAAAUAAAAUAGAAAAAUGUAGAUUUAUUAACUUAAAAAUGGGAAAUUCUGACAUUAUAUUUGGAACAGCUUUUCUAAAUGAAGAGUCCUAUUAUUUUGAAUAAUAAAGAAGAUAUAAGGCCAAGAACAUAUCAAAGUUCUUGGACAUGUGUUGACCAUAUAAUACCAGAUAGAUCAUAAGAUGUAUAGUUCUUUGGGAAAAGUUUCUUCAAAUAAUAUGAAUGUGUGCUCAUUUGUACUUAAAAAGUGGUUUUUAAUGUCCAAACAUUGAGGGGUGAUCCCUAUGUGUUGUUCCCAACCUGAUAAAGGUCCUUCUUUGUGUAUAAUUUUAAAUUGGAAAAGUCAACAACUAUUUAGUAUCCUUACACAUGAAAAUAAUUCCUGGUCUUACAGCUACAUGUAAUGAUGUUCAUAUUUUCUGCUGAUAUAAUAACUAGAAUCAUGCAAAUAAACUUAAGAAAAAGGGAUGUAAGUCCAUCUUACAAAUCAUGCAAAUAUGACACUUUUUCUAGACUACAAAACAGCACGCGCAAAAUAGUUGUCGCAAAGAAUUUUAACCUUUGAAAUUGUUGUGGCGCGCUAAAACCCCCAUGGGCAUUUUCAAAAGUUGGCAGGUAUGAUAU
Molecule: long non-coding RNA, 1240 nt
Filed under: Mytilus galloprovincialis (Mediterranean mussel)
Lineage: Eukaryota; Metazoa; Mollusca; Bivalvia; Mytilida; Mytilidae
Source: RNAcentral